AACCAGAAAGGGAAAGGUAGAGACACUUGCAGUCUCUGUUCCUCCCAUUUUUCUUCAUGUGAGGUCUUCAUCUUCCAGUGUUUGAAGCUUUGUGGUCUGAGCUGGAAAGAGAUCUCAUCUGAUUAUGAAGUCCUGUGUGUGCCAUCAACAAAUAUGAACCUAUGCAAAAAAGUCAUCAAUUCAUUAGGGAUUCUCCUAUUUCCCAUGAGUUCACUUAGGAUCAAAAAAAUGCUGAAGGUCAGAAACAUCCUGGGACACUACUUCUGUCGAAUCUACAUCACUGGACUAUUUCUACCUCCUCACUAA
This 306-nucleotide long non-coding RNA is filed under the name Taeniopygia guttata (zebra finch). RNAcentral's name for it is "lncRNA (ENSTGUG00000026834.1)". The record is from RNAcentral. Lineage: Eukaryota; Metazoa; Chordata; Aves; Passeriformes; Estrildidae.